Molecule: long non-coding RNA, 810 nt
Organism: Vitis riparia (riverbank grape)
Lineage: Eukaryota; Viridiplantae; Streptophyta; Magnoliopsida; Vitales; Vitaceae
Exons: 2
Source: RefSeq, a predicted model, not a curated record
CUUAUCUGGUUUAGUUGGAGUUGUUAUUAUCAUAUUUUUCUUUGGUUUGCUUUUUCAUUUGAAUACUUCUCUUCAUUUGUCUGUUAUUAAGCAACUCUGCCAUUUAUUUCAUAGCAUCAACUCCUUCAACCACUGCUGCUGGAAGUUCUAUGCGUUGACAUAAACUUGGACCCCAUUGCCUGACGUAUAUCGGAAAUCCAAAUGGUUUCCCACCUUUCCUAGCAUAAUUUUGUCAUGAUAUGAUUUUUAUUUUGAAGGAACCAUCAUCCUAUUGGUACAAUUUCUUGGCCUUGGAUUGUUUUUUGCAUUGUAGGAGCAGGAUGAGGGAAGUCACACUCUUUCUACUGGUUUUCUUAUCUUGAUUAGUUACUCAAAGCAUCUCUGAAACGCCGGAGUGCCAUAUUGAAGUUCAGUUCAACAUUCAAUCAGCUGAGGAUUAUACUACGCAUUCAAAUAGAGGUAAUCUCCAUUGAACACCUAAUUAGCCUGUGUUGAGGGGGGAAAUUUUGUAGGUUGGUGCUGUUCUUUUUCCGGGAUCGAUGAUUAGGUUGGGGCAGCAUGUGUUGCCUGUCUGUGAUUUGUGUGAGCUAUGUAGUUGGGAAUAAGAGUGCUUAUGGUUGGGACUUGGACUGUCAAAAUAUAGCCAUGUUUAAGGUUUUUACAUGUCUGUCAUGAUCUGAGAACUUUAGCUUGAAGUGGGAUUUCACAAUUUAUAGAUUCUUGUUGGAAAGAAAAUGUAAAUUCAACCCUGCUGUGAUGCUGUUUGGAUUGGUUUUUUGAAAUUAUGGAUUUGGUAUUGACUUUCAGUAU